Molecule: non-coding RNA, 46 nt
Organism: Trichobilharzia regenti
Lineage: Eukaryota; Metazoa; Platyhelminthes; Trematoda; Strigeidida; Schistosomatidae
Source: Rfam
GUACUGGUGAAGAGUCCCAAACUAGGACGAAACGGCUGUCCAGUAC